ACAAACACCAUGCAGAGAGAGUUUUUUUGUCUAAUUAGAUAAUUAAUGACAUACAUGAACAGAUACACUGGGUGAACUAUGUGGUCAUCACCCCUCUGUCUAAUACUCAUCGCAAGCACCAAAAUAAAUUAUAUUGAGUCUAGUUUUGUAUAGAAAGCCCAACUGAUGAUGCUAGCAUAACUUCCAAAAGUCAGUCUUGACAGGUACUCCCAUACUACUAACCUGAAAGAAAUGAAAAAAAGAUUACUAAAAUUAUGAAGCAAACAAUUAAGCAAAAGAGAAGUUUUCUCCAACCAGAUUUUUUUUCCUUCUAAUUACCAACAGAGAAUUAAUUAUGUCCUUGUUAAGCCCAACUGGUGAAGGGAGUAUAACUUCCAAAAACCAGUGUUGGCAGGAACUCCUAAACUACUAACCUGAAAAAAGCAUAUCCAUAUAGAGAUGAGAGCCGAAAAACCUUUAGCCAAAAUCGGUAGCAAAAAGAAAAUCCAUAUAGAGAUGGCAAGUGGAAGUUCUUUAUAAUGGGAGUCGGGAAAAAAUCCGAGUAUUUGGUGACUAAAUUAGCUACAGAAUAUGACCAAGCUACCACAUUAAUGUAUGCCUAAAGAAUACAUCUAAAAACAAAGGAUGAUGAAGUCAAGUGUGACAUACAUAUCACAUAUCGAUACCUAAUAUCUUAUUAUCAGAAUGCAUCCCAAUCCAUGAUGAUCCUAGCAACAUCUCCAAAAUGGCAAUCCUGUGUGGAUAGUAUAUACAUACUCACUUCACAGUGCAAUUUACUGUAUAUUUAAUAUCAUGUGUUCAACAUAUAGUACCCUAUAAGGCUAACAAAUCUACAUUACAUUUCUUUAGUACAAGAGCAGAUUUUGCGAAGCUUCUAAAAGAAAUUGAUAAUGCCUCAAUGGCUGAGCGCCCUACUUUAGGCAAACUUGUUCAAAGAAUUAAAAAUGAUUCAUUUUAUUUUUAGGAGAGAGAAAACUAUCACAAAAGGAACAAUAAAUACCUGAGAAUAAUUUAGUAGUAAAAUAGUUAUCAAGAUGUACCAUUUCCUCUGCAUGUCAGCUAUUCAGCACAUCAUGUGUUUAUUUGUUUAAAAACCAUGUGAAAUUAAACCACAAUUACUUCCAUCGAGAAAAACGGAACACAAAACGUAAUGGAGAGAUUAAGAAUAAAUAUACCAUGUCAUAUUAAAGAUGCAGGUUCCGAAUUCCUUGCACAUUCACACAAGGAGCUGGACCCCCAAAUUUG
RNAcentral lists this long non-coding RNA (1245 nucleotides) under Triticum aestivum (bread wheat). RNAcentral's name for it is "long non-coding RNA (TAES_LNC010068)". The record is from RNAcentral. Lineage: Eukaryota; Viridiplantae; Streptophyta; Magnoliopsida; Poales; Poaceae.